Molecule: small RNA, 123 nt
Filed under: Marmota monax (woodchuck)
Lineage: Eukaryota; Metazoa; Chordata; Mammalia; Rodentia; Sciuridae
Source: RNAcentral
GCUGGGCGUGGUGGCACACACCUGUAAUCUCAGUGGCUCGGGAGGCUGAGACAGGAGGAACGUGAGUUCAAAGCCAGCCUCAAAUGGUGAGGAGCUAAGCAACUCAGUGAGACCCUGUCUCUA